AGUUUUCCCUUCAGAAAUGUUUUUAAAAAUACCCUAAAUUUAGUAUAGUUAGUAUUUAAAGAACAAGUACACGCUAUCCUGCAAUUCUUGUAUGAGUUGAAUAAUGGAGAAGAGGAAGGCAUCUUGUGAAAAAUUCCCACUGCUAUACAGUGUUCUUUUGUCCUUUGUACAGCUGCUAACAGGACUUCCAUGGAAUGAGAAUGACUACUUCUAGAAGUUCUGCUUGCGUUGUUCUUAACGUCAAGAAGUUCCUUGCUAUAUAUGUAUACUGGUAUCUGGACUGGGGUUGGUUAUUUUUUAACCAGUUUUAUCAGACUGCCUGUUCUUUGUCUAGGCAAAGUUGUAUGAAAUUAUAGGUGUUGCUUUUCUGAUGCUGGGCUUGCUGUAUUGUGUAAUGAUGAAGUAAUAAGAAAAAAGAUAAAAAUAGACAGCCUUAAGAUAUUUAAUAAGUAAUAGUGGAUAAAUUUUGCAAGUAGUAAAAAGCUUAAGUUCUCAAUCUAUAGCUUCCCACAUAUUUUCAUAAACUGUCCAGGCAAACAUUUAUCAGAAAAAAGAUGUAGAAGUGUUAAUAUGUUCGUAGGUAGCUAUGAUCACUUGAAGGCAGCCUCUUUGCUCUGCUUUCACUGUCCUGGAGACAGAAGCUUCUCAAAGCUGUGGAUUUCAGAAGGAACUAAUUUGGUACUAAUGCUGUGCCAGAAGAGUUGGGGAUGAAAGACCUUAGAAGAUCCUCCAGAAAUGUCAUACCAUCAGCAUAUGAAGUUGUACCCCUGUGAGUGGGAGCAUGUCUCCAAACUGGGUCCUAAAGGAGCAGGUUGUGUUUCUGCCACGUGCAGCAAGGAAUCAGAAUGGUUCCCCAUCUUUGUCUGCAGCAGAAAAGGCUCAGGGUGAGGCAGGAAGAGAGAACAGAUCCUGUAAGGCUACAGCAGACCAAGGCAGGGGGCUGAAAACCUUUCCAGACAGCGGUUGCCAGUCUGCCUGUUGCAGCUUGAAGAAGAAAAGCAUGCUGUGAAAACAAUUGGUGCAUUUGCUUUAGAUCUAAGUGACUCCAACUAGGUCGAUGCUUCAUGCUGAUGUGUUGAAAACAUUUAAAAAAUUUCUCAGAGUUUGAUUUCAACUGAAACAUUUCAGCAUGUCUAGCUCUCUGAAGUUGUUAUUUUUCACUAAUCUUGCAGACAACUGUUUUUCUUCCACCCUAACAAAUAGCAGUAGGGAAACUGGGCCUUUUGUCUAGAUAGAUUUGUUUUGAAUGAAGUUUUUUUUUUCUACAGGAGGUGGAGGUUUUUGCUUGUUUGUUUUAAAUAAACUGAGACUCUUGUAAAUUGACUUGAAAGGAGUAGUAGUUUAUUUCAUGAAAGGAAGAAGAGGUAAUCGCGCUUCUACAGAGUGUGAAUGGCUUUACUUAAACUGCUAGCGUUACUUGCAUUUGAAUUUUCAUUCAGAGGCAGACUAGAUAACUCAUAAGUACA
RNAcentral lists this long non-coding RNA (1466 nucleotides) under Meleagris gallopavo (turkey). Its description in RNAcentral is "lncRNA (ENSMGAG00000019627.1)". The record is from RNAcentral. Lineage: Eukaryota; Metazoa; Chordata; Aves; Galliformes; Phasianidae.